This 253-nucleotide ribosomal RNA is filed under the name uncultured bacterium. RNAcentral's name for it is "partial 16S ribosomal RNA". It matches the Rfam family "Bacterial small subunit ribosomal RNA", at positions 524 to 776 of the family's 1533-position model. The record is from RNAcentral.
UACAGAGGUGGCAAGCGUUGUUCGGAUUUACUGGGCGUAAAGGGCGCGCAGGCGGCGCAUUUUGUCAGGCGUGAAAGCCCCGGGCUUAACCUGGGAACUGCGUUUGAUACGGAUGGGCUAGAGUUCGGGAGAGGAGAGUGGAAUUCCCAGUGUAGAGGUGAAAUUCGUAGAUAUUGGGAGGAACACCGGUGGCGAAGGCGGCUCUCUGGACCGAGACUGACGCUGAGGCGCGAAAGCGUGGGGAGCAAACAGG